This 212-nucleotide unclassified non-coding RNA is filed under the name Hevea brasiliensis (rubber tree). The record is from RNAcentral. Lineage: Eukaryota; Viridiplantae; Streptophyta; Magnoliopsida; Malpighiales; Euphorbiaceae.
GUUUUACCUAUCUCUGACUAAAUUACUGUCUAAAGAUAAUCAGCUGUAGUGAAAGAACUAGACAGACCAAAACCCUGAUCAACCGGACACCAACUGGAGGCUGACAACAAAGAGUAGAAACUGGUAAGAAUUACCAACCACCAAGACCGACAAAUGCCAGCUAGUCGUCAUGAAAAAGGCUUGAGAGUUAAGAACCCCACCCUCCACUGUUG